Molecule: ribosomal RNA, 376 nt
Filed under: uncultured bacterium
Lineage: Bacteria
Description: bacterial SSU rRNA
Rfam family: Bacterial small subunit ribosomal RNA
Source: RNAcentral
GACAGAGGGUGCAAACGUUGUUCGGAAUUACUGGGCGUAAAGCGCGUGUAGGCUGUCGCGAAAGUCGGAUGUGAAAGCCCUGGGCUCAACUCAGGAAGUGCAUUCGAAACUACGCGACUAGAGUCUCGGAGAGGGAGGCGGAAUUCUGGGUGUAGAGGUGAAAUUCGUAGAUAUCCAGAGGAACACCAGUGGCGAAGGCGGCCUCCUGGACGAUCACUGACGCUGAGACGCGAAAGCGUGGGGAGCAAACAGGAUUAGAUACCCUGGUAGUCCACGCCGUAAACGAUGGGUGCUAGGUGUCGCGGGCUUUGACCCCUGCGGUGCCGCAGCUAACGCAUUAAGCACCCCGCCUGGGGAGUACGGCCGCAAGGCUAAA